UCCCGCUUAGCUCAGCGGUAGAGCGCGUCACUAGUAACCAUCACGUGGUUAUGACGAGGUCAGUCGUUCAAAUCGGCUAGUGGGAA
Non-coding RNA from Psilocybe cubensis, 86 nucleotides. The record is from the annotation of a RefSeq genome assembly. Lineage: Eukaryota; Fungi; Basidiomycota; Agaricomycetes; Agaricales; Agrocybaceae.